Molecule: long non-coding RNA, 336 nt
Filed under: Brachypodium distachyon (stiff brome)
Lineage: Eukaryota; Viridiplantae; Streptophyta; Magnoliopsida; Poales; Poaceae
Description: long non-coding RNA (BDIS_LNC001371)
Source: RNAcentral
AGAGAAUAACAUAACAAAUGACACAACACGACAAAAUGAUAUCGAGCCACCGCCGCGUCCUCUCCGUAGUCGUUGCCGCCACACGCCCUUCACUGCUGCCGCAGCUGCGGGCCGCCGCAUAGGAAGACUGAGGCCCAAGAGGGAGAGGGGUGUUGGACAGGCCUUUAGGGUUUUGGUGGAGUUGUGGGCCGGCUGAGGUUGGCCCAUGAGGAGGGCCUCUGGCAUGAAAGGCUACGCAAGUUCAUCCUGUACGGGAGUUCAGCCUCCACGGCAGAAGAACGACGGCGGCGGUUCUGCUGCUUGCCGGCCGGCAGCAGGACAUAUCCAGAGGACGUG